AUGGAGUCAAGUACAGCACUUAAAAGCAUCACUUCAGGACAGCAAAACUGUAGGGUCUUUGCACGCCUGAUAAGGCUUUGGGAUGCUAAAAUAAUUAAUCCCAGAUAUGGAGAUGGCUUGCUAAGCAUUGAUGGCAUUCUCUUAGAUGAAGAUGGCAACAUGGCACAGAUGAGUGUGCCCAAAAAAUAUGAAAAACAGUUUCGUGGAUUGCUAUCAGAAGGAUCUGUCUACAUUAUUUCAGAUAUUGUGGCUAUUGAUAACAAAAGCAAAUCAUAUGUCUACCACCAUCAGAACUACAUGUUGCAAUUCAAACAUGACACAAAGGUCCAUGCAUUGCACUCAAGAGGAGCAAAUAUACCUACUGUUUCCUUCAACUUUUGUCCAUUUGAUCAGCUGCCAAGAAAAGCAAUUGAUUCAAAACCACUCCUAGAUAUUAUUGGAGUAAUAAGUGAUGUUAGUCCAUACGAUUAUGCUACCCCAACAUCUCAGAACAAACUUCGGAAGAUAAAAAUCCGAAACCUAGAGUAUGUCUUUCUUGCAACGAUGCCACUUAUUUUCUUCCGCAAAGACCCUUUUUCCUGCAAUUCUAUAAGUAUACCUUGCUUUUCCAAUGAACAAACGCAAGAAGUAGUUCUAUGGGGCAAACAUGGAGAAUCAUUUGAUGAAGAAGCAAUACUUAAAAAAUCUCUAGAAGGAAUUGUGAUAGCUAUUUUUGCUGGUAUAACUGCAACUUCACAGAAGUUUACAGGUACAAUACAAGGAUCUUCAAGUUCGGCAACACAGGUGUAUCUUGACCUCAAUAUACCUGAAGUUCAACACUAUCGCAGCAGCUACCAAUGGAAAUUUCCAACUCUACAAAAGAAUCUCCCUAAAGUCGCACAUCUAUCUCCACUUGAAGCAGCAGGCAAGCUGUAUACCAUUGAACAAAUAUCUACCUUGCCAACCACAUCUUUUCAGGGAGGAGCAACAUUCAGUACUAUUGCAAAGGUGACAUCCAUUAUACCAUCAGUCAAAUGGUACUACAAAGCAUGCAAGCGGUGUGGAAAAGAUUACAACAACAUGUCAGAUACCCCAACAUGCGCCUGCCAAUUUCCUGUUCCAUGCCCAAUGUAUAAGCUCCCCCUUACACUAACAGAUAGCUCAACAAGUUUAGAUGCAGUUGCAUUUAAUAAAGUAGCUGAAGACUUGGUUGAGCGUCAUGUUGAGCAAGUUUCUAUGAACAUGAAAAUAGAUGCUGUGGAUCAGGUGCUUUCCCUGGAUAAAGCCAUUGGUAAAGAAAGGUUAUUCUAUAUAGGAAUGAAUAUUGAUUCAACUGCCAAGUACCCUAUAAAAUGUCCUGAAAAAAACUUUCCCCGUGGACAAUACCAAAUCGGUUCCUCUAUUAACUGCUUCAAAGGUAAGAACUUUUUGAUACUCAUUACCUUCAUAUAUCAUCCUAUUAACUUGACAUGUGAAGCUUUUUCAGUCAGCACAAGAUAA
This 1479-nucleotide ribosomal RNA is filed under the name Triticum aestivum (bread wheat). RNAcentral describes it as "partial small subunit ribosomal RNA". Lineage: Eukaryota; Viridiplantae; Streptophyta; Magnoliopsida; Poales; Poaceae. The record is from RNAcentral.